RNAcentral lists this ribosomal RNA (544 nucleotides) under uncultured Gammaproteobacteria bacterium. RNAcentral describes it as "bacterial SSU rRNA". It matches the Rfam family "Bacterial small subunit ribosomal RNA", at positions 355 to 916 of the family's 1533-position model. The record is from RNAcentral. Lineage: Bacteria; Pseudomonadati; Pseudomonadota; Gammaproteobacteria.
UGGGGAAUAUUGGACAAUGGGGGCAACCCUGAUCCAGCAAUGCCGCGUGAGUGAAGAAGGCCUUAGGGUUGUAAAACUCUUUCAGCAGGGAAGAUAAUGACGGUACCUGCAGAAGAAGCCCCGGCUAACUCCGUGCCAGCAGCCGCGGUAAUACGGAGGGUGCGAGCGUUAAUCGGAAUUACUGGGCGUAAAGCGCGCGUAGGCGGCUACGUCAGUCGGGUGUGAAAGCCCCGGGCUUAACCUGGGAAUUGCAUUCGAAACUGCGUGGCUAGAGUCUGAUAGAGGGAAGUGGAAUUUCCGGUGUAGCGGUGAAAUGCGUAGAUAUCGGAAGGAACAUCAGUGGCGAAGGCGGCUUCCUGGAUCAAGACUGACGUUCAGGUGCGAAAGCGUGGGGAGCAAACAGGAUUAGAUACCCUGGUAGUCCACGCCGUAAACGAUGAGAACUAGCCGUUGGGGAGAUUUACUCUUUAGUGGCGUAGCUAACGCGAUAAGUUCUCCGCCUGGGGAGUACGGCGGCAACGGUAAAACUCAAAGGAAUUGACGG